AACGAACGCUGGCGGCAUGCCUAACACAUGCAAGUCGAACGAGACCUUCGGGUCUAGUGGCGAACGGGUGCGUAACGCGUGGGAACCUGCCCUUAGGUUCGGAAUAACUCCCCGAAAGGGGUGCUAAUACCGGAUAAUGUCUUCGGACCAAAGAUUUAUCGCCUUUGGAUGGGCCCGCGUUGGAUUAGCUAGUUGGUAGGGUAAAAGCCUACCAAGGCGACGAUCCAUAGCUGGUCUGAGAGGAUGAUCAGCCACACUGGGACUGAGACACGGCCCAGACUCCUACGGGAGGCAGCAGUGGGGAAUAUUGGACAAUGGGCGAAAGCCUGAUCCAGCAAUGCCGCGUGAGUGAUGAAGGCCUUAGGGUUGUAAAGCUCUUUUAACCGGGAUGAUAAUGACAGUACCGGGAGAAUAAGCUCCGGCUAACUCCGUG
Molecule: ribosomal RNA, 433 nt
Filed under: uncultured bacterium
Lineage: Bacteria
Description: partial 16S ribosomal RNA
Rfam family: Bacterial small subunit ribosomal RNA
Source: RNAcentral